RNAcentral lists this ribosomal RNA (795 nucleotides) under Triticum aestivum (bread wheat). RNAcentral's name for it is "partial small subunit ribosomal RNA". The record is from RNAcentral. Lineage: Eukaryota; Viridiplantae; Streptophyta; Magnoliopsida; Poales; Poaceae.
AUGACGGAGACCACCGACAAGUUGCAGAGCCUGCUCGAGUCGGUGAUUCGCCGGCUGGACGCGAAUCAGAAGACCGCGGACGAACGCCACCAGGCGCAGCUCUCCUACAAUGACCACGUCUCCACAGAGCUCAAGCAUCUCGCAAAACAGAUCGACCUCACCCAGGCCGAUGUGGACGAGGCCUGCAAGAGCGCGCCGUUGCCGGAUCCAGUGGCCAUGGGCACCACCGAAGCGCGGUCUCCCUCGGGGACUGCGGGCUCGACAGCUCAGGUGCCACCACCACCUCGCCCAGCGCCGACCCACCUCUACACAGAGGGCACUUCGCAGCUUCCAUUCGCUCGCCUGGUCAACCAUGGGCCACCGCUGCUCACCGGGGCGCCCUCACCAACAGAGCACGGCCGCUACAACGACACCUUCACCAAACCACCCAAGCAUGACUUUCCUCGCUUCGACGGCACCACCCCGCGCAUCUGGCUCGAGCGCUGCACGCACUAUUUCGAGCUCUACCGCGUGCCAGUGCACAAUUGGGUCACCACUGCCGUGCUCUACAUGGAGGGUCUAGCUGCGAUGUGGUUGCAAGCUUACAAAGAGAAGCAUCCGAACAUCACCUGGGCAACAUUCAGAGCCGCUGUGGAAGAGGAAUUUGGACCAGAGGAGUUUGAAGUGCAGAUGCACGCGUUGGUUCAGUUAAGACAGACCAGUACAUUUCAGGAAUAUCGCCAGGAAUUCGAGACAGCCAUGUAUCACUUGCUUUCCUUGGAUCCCACUUUGAGCUCGAAGUUUUUCAUCUCUUAG